CGUGUCUAUCCUCCGUGCGGCGCUGCGGUAGGUGCCCGAUAGGGGCGGGUUGCUGGAAUGCCUCGAGAUUUAAAGCUCCGGCGCCUAAGGAUGGGUCUGCGGCCUAUCAGGUAGUAGUGGGUGUAGCGUACCUACUAGCCUACGACGGGUACGGGUUGUGAGAGCAAGAGCCCGGAGAUGGAUUCUGAGACACGAAUCCAGGCCCUACGGGGUGCCAGCAGCCGCGGUAAUACGAUCCCCCCGU
This 244-nucleotide ribosomal RNA is filed under the name uncultured Methanosarcina sp. RNAcentral's name for it is "partial 16S ribosomal RNA". It matches the Rfam family "Archaeal small subunit ribosomal RNA", at positions 121 to 342 of the family's 1478-position model. The record is from RNAcentral. Lineage: Archaea; Methanobacteriati; Methanobacteriota; Methanomicrobia; Methanosarcinales; Methanosarcinaceae.